Long non-coding RNA from Daphnia pulicaria, 274 nucleotides. RefSeq lists it as uncharacterized. NCBI's taxonomy places the organism in Eukaryota, Metazoa, Arthropoda, Branchiopoda, Diplostraca, Daphniidae. The transcript has 3 exons. The record is from RefSeq and is a predicted model, not a curated record.
GACGUCGAGCAUUGCCAAAAUGGAAGUGCUCUUUGAAGAACUGAACGUCUAAUUCUUCUUCAGUCAGAUGAAGCUAACGGAUUCGGAAAUCGUCGAAGAAGCAGAGGACAUCACAGCUGAAAAAAAAAACGGAAGCCCUAAUAAGAGGUCCAAGAGAAAUUUAUUCGGGUUCAUGUUCGGGUCAACUGAUACCAUACCACGUACUAAAUCGUUAAUGAUUUUCAGAUUUGGUGAGGAACAUCCAAUCUGUCGAUCGCGGUCGCUAACUAAUUGG